UUUGAGAUGGGUUGUGAAAGAAAUACACAUUCUUUGAAAUUCUUGGGAUUAUAUGAUGUUAAACACUUAAAUUAAGGAUUUGAUGUUGAAAUUCUCCAUUUUCCUAAAGAAAUUUUCGGAUUAUGUAAUGAAGGUGCUAUUUUCGAAAUUUUCCCAGAAAAGUGUUAAUUCUGUCCAUAUUUUGGUGACAGUUUUCAAUAUACAGAAUUUGGUGUCGUAAUUCAAUAUUGUGGAACUUUAGUGCCGUUUUUGUCAAACAUUUGAUUUUCAGAUUCUAAAGGUUUGAAUGAAGAUAUAUGACAAAUGUUAAAGCCUAUGUAUUGGAAUUAUUUAUAGGGGUUGUGUAUAUACAAGCUAAGUUAUACCAUUUUUGUUAAACCCUAGAAUUUUAAUUAGAUUCUAGAGUAAAGGUAGUUUGGGAAAAUGAUAGUUAUCACGAAAUAUUCACUUGGAAGAAUGGUUUUAUGGAACAAAAUGUAAAUUUAAUUGGUUGAAUUAUGGUUAUUAGUUUUGCUAGAUUGGAAGAUGGGGUAGUUAUUCUCAUGAUUAGAAUAAAGGUUAUUGUGAGGAAUUAGCUUAAAGUGAUUAAGGGAAAUUGGGGGAAAAUUAUUCAAGUAUCGAGAAAUCAAGUUUUAGAUUCGAUCAUCAAUAUUUAGAACUACUACUUAGCAGGAUAGUGGUUAAAUUAGUUAUUUUACAUUGUCUUUCAGGUGGUGGCAAAGAGAUGGGAAAAACUUGUCGACCAUCAUAACCAGUAGCUUGUUUAGAGUGAGUGGAUAAAACUUAUUUUUCAGAAAUAAGUCUUCUUUAAAUUUUAAAGUUAUUUAUUUUAUAAAGUUGACUUCAUAGCAUUAUUUUCAGAAUAAAAUGGAUUUUAUUAUCAAUUGCUUUUAUAGUUAAAUUCAGUUCAGUUAAAUUAUUUUGAAAGCUUGUUAUAUUCUUAUUACAUGUUUCAGUACAGUUAAAGUUAUUUCUAAAAACCACCAGAAAGUACCCAGGUGAUUUUACCCCAGUUUGCACUGAUGUGAAUGUGUUUCCACAGUGUAUGAUUAGUUAUAGUGAUUUUACCCGCUCUGCACUAUCGUGAAUGUGUUUCCAUAGUGUAUGACCAGAAUAUCAGAGGUCUUUGGGACCCACUCUCGUACACACAUAGGCUUUGGGCCGUGUACUAAGGUGAUUAGCCUUUGGGGCAGCUCUGCGUACGUAUGACCAGAUUAUCAGCUAUCAGAUUAUCAGAUUUGAAUGUCUUUGCCUUGUACAUCGAGAUUACUCUAUGCAUGUGUAAGGCUAUUAAUUGGGUACUCUUUAUGGUGUGAUUUUUCAGAACUUAUUCAGUUCUUAGAUUUCAGAUUAUGGAAUUCAGUUUUCAGAAUAAAGCGUUCAGCUUCUAGUAUAGAGCAGCAGCAAUAUUUCAUAGAUUUUCAUGAAUAUCAGAUUCUUUAUAAUUGUUAUACCUUACAUAUACUUAUCUAGAAUUUAGAACAAAGAAUUUUAUGAUGAAAUUAUGUUUAGUUUUAAAAGUGUUACCAGAUUUUAGAAUUUUUCAAAGUUUUGAUAGAGCAAGAAUUUUCAAAAUAUAUGCAUAAAAGAAAAAUAUGUUUAUUUGUAAAUUAUCCACUCACUGAGCUUUAAGCUCAUAUAUUUUUUCACAUUUUUUCUUUAUCAGACAGAAAACAGACAAAUUGAGCAGUUUUGGAGCAUGUCGAACCACCGAAUUGAGCCAUGCGUCAUAGGUUGUAUGACAUCUUUUAUCGGAUUAUACAUUGUGUUCUUUUGGGAUACACAUAGGUUAAAUCAGAAAAGUUCAUUAUGGGCUCAUUAGAUAUUUGGUAUCUUUAGUACUUUUGAAGAUUAUUGGUUGUAAAGCAAGUAAAUAUUGAUUUCCUAGCAUUAUAUUUGAAUAGUUUGUAUUUUUGAGGGUCUGGUAUACCCUGAUUUAUAUUAUAGGUAUUGAUUUGAGAAAAAUUGGUUAUUGUUCAGGUAGUUUUAGUUUGUAUUUUAGAGGAAAUUUUGUCAAAAUUCUGUUAAAAAUAUUUUUCAGUCAAACAAGUCAAAGUUGCCUUGGUGGUGGGUCCGACGUUUAACUGGCAUCUACCACCGGCACACGACACGUGUCGAGUCAAUUAGGUUGAGUCGGGACGGAUCGUACACCCAUCAAGAUUACGCCGUCGACUUGGUUUUCAUCUCCAGCAAAUUUCGCUUGAUUGAACUAUGAAUAAGCCCAAGGUUUUCAGCUAUAUAACUAUUACUCUUGCAUAAACCCUAACCUCCUACCCAUUUUGCCGUCGUAGUUGUGACUCUCUCCGGCCGGCGUCGUUCAGCGGUUCCAUUGGGAGGCCAACAUCUUCAGACCUUAUCUCUAACCCAUUUUGCGAGUAAAGUUUAUUAUUUGUUUCAUAUCCUCUGCACAUUUCUUGGGAAGGUAUUUUUUUUAGGUUUUUAUAUAAUCUUCAUGUUCUUGAAAACCUGUUAAUCUGCAGCUUAUGGCAUGGUAUGCGAUGGAUUUUUUUGUUCCGAUUUAACUUUCAUUAUUGAAUUUUUCAUUAUUUUGAUAUGUACAGAAAAAUAGAGGCAUUUAUAACUUGUUGAAAUUGGUCUUAUCGAGUUUAGAUGGUAAAUUACUUUCAUAAUCUAUUUGUUUAGAAGUAUUAAAUCACUAUAUUUGGCUAGAGAAAGUGAAAUGAGAGCACAUUUAAAUUGUGAUUCAUAUGGUCUGUUUUUCUGGUGAUGAUAGUAUCCCAUUUCAAUUUUGAUGAUUUUCGGUUAUACCUGUAAGUGCAAGUAGAAGUCGUUGCUGGAAUGUUCUUUGAAUUUUGAUGAUUUUGAUGGAAUUGGUCCUAUCGAAUUUAGAAGUCAUUGCUGGAAUGUUCUUUGAAUGAUUUUCUGGUGAUGGAAUGUUCGUUGCUGGAAUGAUUUUCAUAUCAAUUUUGAUUAUUUUGAUGGUCUGUUGCUGGAAUGUUCUUUGAAUUCUACGUUGGAUGGUAGAAUUUAUUUGUUGGAUUCCUAUGGUGGUAUAGAAUGUUGCUUAAGUUUUUAUCGAGUUGUUUUUUCGGGAUCUCUAUUUCAUUUUAGUUUGUAAUGAAAUCCUCUAAAUAUAGUUUGCCGCAUAGGGAUGAGAGGAAGGAAUUAUGGUGUUUGUCACAGUUGUAGAAGCACAAAUUGCCAAGCAUGUUCGAACAUCUAGCUCAAAACGCCAAGAAAUGAAACUUCGAGAUUUCGUUGAACGUGACAUUCUGCAAAGGAAAAGAGCCCUCGAAUGAUAAUGGAGGUUGCAUUAUUUAUUUAUUUUUUGAUCGGUAAAUGUAAAUAUAUAGAUAAAAAAUGUACCAUGUACAAAUACACCGGGCAUACCCGGGCGAGACAAUGUCCAUAAUCAAAUACAAGUACACCGGGCAUAUCCGGGCGAAUCAAAAUCAAUGAUAAGUACAAGUACACCGGGCAUUCCCGGGCAAAUCAAAAUCCAAAAUCAAAACAACUACUCCGGGCAUAUCCGGGAGACACAAAGAAGGCAAAAUACAUAAGAGAUCAAUGAUCCACGGCCAAGGAUUCAAAAAGAAUCAAGACAUUCGGAUAUAAAGUAAACAUGACUUUGUAUACGUGUGUCUUGAUCCUUCUAACAAUAGAAUCCAAGUCGGCCGGGAGGUUUUCAAAAAUCUUCCUAUUCCUCGUAAGCCAUAUGUAGUAAACUGUGCUAGCAUAUGGUAUCAUGAGUAAAAUGCAAUAACUCUAGCAAGCACUGUCAGCAAUAACUCGGCAUUAAGAUGGAUUAGAAUACAAAUAUGGAACUCAAUUUUUAAGCAAGAAUAGAAAUGUCGAUUUUUAUCUACAGGAAAGGACAUUAACAUGAAAAGUUGAAAACUUGGUUACUUAUAAAAUCUGUGCAAGGAAUUUUUAUGAUCUGCCUAAAUUAUUCUAUGCAUCUUUCGGUGACACCUUAGCAGUCUAUCUCACAUUUUUCUAUCCAAUUACUCACAUAUGAAAUGCAUAUCGUGUAGAGCUCUUAAUUGCACAGCUCUUUCAAAUCCCCGACAUUUUCUUCAAGAAAGGAUUAAAGCAUUUAGAACCCAAUAAGAAUGGUGGGGGGGGGGCUAGUCAACAAGCAAUAACAUUACUUGACAUCCAACAAUAACUACACAUUACUUGCCAUCAACAAUAACUCAGCAUUACUUACCAUCAACAACAACUCACUAGUCACAAAAAGGAAUCUGUAAAAGAUUGGCAUGAAGUAUUUCACAAACAUUACUUACCAUCAACAAUAACUAGAUAUUAGAACAAUAAUUACCGUCAGCUAAAAAUGCUAAACUAGCCAAAUAUCAGCCCUUGACAAAGAAAUCAGGUCUUCUACGCGAACUAAAAAAUUAAAAACAGAAUACAUAACCAGCCAACACUUUUUCCUUCCUUUUUUUCGAGAAUCGGUGAGGGGGUGUCCCUUUUGUAGGAUGUAGGUGAAAUACAGAUUUGGCUAUUGCCGGAGUUGGGCAUCACCAUUUUCAUGGUCGAGGAGUGUGGGCUUCGAUUUCGGGGAAUGUCGAGCAGUGAGGGCUUCUAUUUCACCUUCACUGGAUUUCGGGAUUUCGUCUUCACCGGCGCUUAAUUUCACGAGUAGCUCCGGUGAGGUAGGCGGGCCGGCGAGGGUGGGGGAAUAUACUUUGACGGGACUUCUCUGGCUUCUCCACGUGAUGUGCUUUCCGCUUUCCCUUAUGUUUCGGAUUGGAUAUGUUUCGGAUUGGACGAUCAUUUCAAAGUCAAAGAAAUCUGCUCCCAAUUCGUCACCUGAGGAGCACGUUUUUCCUAAAAUUCAAACUUCUGCAAAUUUUCUGUCAGGCCAUUAUGUACAAGAGGCUGUAGUGAUAUUCUUAUGGUGAAAAAGACAAUAAAGAUAAACGUAAAGCAUAUAAAGUUUUUCCUUGAACCGUGAGAAAG
RNAcentral lists this long non-coding RNA (4923 nucleotides) under Olea europaea subsp. europaea. The record is from RNAcentral. Lineage: Eukaryota; Viridiplantae; Streptophyta; Magnoliopsida; Lamiales; Oleaceae.